GAUGAACGCUGGCGGCGUGCCUAAUACAUGCAAGUCGAGCGAACGGACGAGAAGCCUGCCUUCCUUAUGUUAGCGGCGGACGGGUGUGUAACACGUGGAUAACCUAUCCUUAAGACUGGGAUUACCUCGGGAAACCGUAGCUAAUACCGGAUAAUCUUCUGAACCGCAUGGUUCAAAAGUGAAAGACGGCUUUGCUGCCACUUAUCGAUGGAUCCGGGCUGGAUUAGCUAGUUGGUAAGGUAACGGCUUACCAAGGCAACGAUGCAUAGCAGACCUUAGAGGGUGAUCAGCCACACUGGAACUGAGACACGGUCCAGACUCCUACGGGAGGCAGCAGUAGGGAAUCUUCCGCAAUGGGCGAAAGCCUGACGGAGCAACGCCGCGUGAAUGAUGAAGGUCUUCGGAUCGUAAAACUCUGUUAUUAGGGAAGAACAUAUGUGUAAGUAACUGUGCACAUCUUGACGGUACCUGAUCAGAAAGCCACGGCUAACUACGUG
RNAcentral lists this ribosomal RNA (497 nucleotides) under uncultured bacterium. Its description in RNAcentral is "partial 16S ribosomal RNA". It matches the Rfam family "Bacterial small subunit ribosomal RNA", at positions 28 to 507 of the family's 1533-position model. The record is from RNAcentral.